Molecule: ribosomal RNA, 619 nt
Filed under: Drosophila albomicans
Lineage: Eukaryota; Metazoa; Arthropoda; Insecta; Diptera; Drosophilidae
Also listed under: 1 other name
Description: partial 16S ribosomal RNA
Rfam family: Bacterial large subunit ribosomal RNA
Source: RNAcentral
UUAAAGUCUGACCUGCCCACUGAAAUUUUUAAAUGGCCGCAGUAUUCUAACUGUGCAAAGGUAGCAUAAUCAUUAGUCUUUUAAUUGAAGGCUGGAAUGAAUGGUUGGACGAAAUAUUAACUGUUUCAUUUUAAUUUUUUAUAGAAUUUUAUUUUUUAGUCAAAAAGCUAAAAUAAUAUUAAAAGACGAGAAGACCCUAUAAAUCUUUAUAUUUAAUUUAUUUUUAUUAUAAAGAUUAAUUUUAUUUAAAUAAAUUUAAAUAUUUUAUUGGGGUGAUAUUAAAAUUUAAAAAACUUUUAAUUUUUAAAAACAUUAAUUUAUGAGUAAUUGAUCCAGUAAUAUUGAUUAAAAAUUUAAGUUACUUUAGGGAUAACAGCGUAAUUUUUUUGGAGAGUUCAUAUCGAUAAAAAAGAUUGCGACCUCGAUGUUGGAUUAAGAUAUAAUUUUGGGUGUAGCCGUUCAAAUUUUAAGUCUGUUCGACUUUUAAAUUCUUACAUGAUCUGAGUUCAAACCGGCGUAAGCCAGGUUGGUUUCUAUCUUUAAUAAAUUGUAAUAUUUUAGUACGAAAGGACCAAAUAUUAAAAUAAUUAUAUUUUAAUAAAGAAUAUUAUUAAUUAAU